CCCCUCUUGAGCCUGGAGCCUGGCUUUGAGACAGCUCUUCCAAGAAUAAGUUGAGAAAACUGAAGACCAUAGAGAUGAAAUGACUUGCCCACCACAGCCAGCUUACGUGGGAUCCAAAAGGACAAGCUAAGCUUCUGAUCUCUAACAGUGACACAAGAAGGGGGCAAUUCCAGGAAUGUCUAGUACUGAGAGAAGGAGUAAAACAACUUGCCCUCCCCAGUGUGGGGGGUCUCAUCCAAUCUGUUGAAGGC
This is a long non-coding RNA of Suricata suricatta (meerkat), 251 nucleotides long. RefSeq lists it as uncharacterized. Lineage: Eukaryota; Metazoa; Chordata; Mammalia; Carnivora; Herpestidae. The transcript is spliced from 3 exons. The record is from RefSeq and is a predicted model, not a curated record.